AUGGCAGUAGUGAGUACCUCGUCAGCUCUCCACCUCCGGCCUCUCCUCCUUCUCCUCUUCCCUAUUGCUACCAUCACGGCGAGUGCAUUCCAUGGAUCCAUUGCCGGUGGUACCACGAUCAAUCGAACCGUUAUCGGUGGUGCCACAGGCUAUCGCCCAAUAUCGCCUACAGCUGCUAGGCCCUUGCCUGCACCCCCGGCCAAGGUAACACCUACGACCCCAAGUGCUCAGCCUGCACCCCCGCCCAAGGUAAUACCUACGGCCCCGAGUGCUCUGCCUGCAGCUAUUGGGACAACAAGCAUGAAAGUGAAAUCCUCCUCUGUAAGAAGAGUUGUAGCAAUUUUAGCUCCUGUAGUUGGCUUCAUUUUGCUUAGCAUCUUGUUCCUCGGCACCUAUUUUAUACGUAAACGAAGAACACAACAACAAUAUGAGAUGGAGAUGGAGGAAGAGUUUGGGGAGCUACAAGGAACACCAAUGAGGUUCACAUUUCAGCAGCUAAAAGCAGCAACCGAGCAAUUCGCAGACAAGCUCGGGGAAGGAGGAUUUGGGUCUGUUUUCAAGGGUCAAUUUUGUGAUGAAAGGAUUGCAGUAAAAUGUUUGGAUCGAGCGGGUCAGGGCAAAAAAGAAUUUUCUGCAGAGGUUCAAACAAUUGGCAGCAUUCAUCAUAUUAAUUUGGUCAGAUUGAUUGGUUUUUGUGGAGAGAAAUCGCAUAGGCUCUUGGUAUAUGAGUACAUGCCAAAAGGAUCCUUGGAUAGAUGGAUCUAUCAUCAACAUGACAAUGAUUCACCUCCCCUGAAUUGA
Molecule: ribosomal RNA, 801 nt
Filed under: Triticum aestivum (bread wheat)
Lineage: Eukaryota; Viridiplantae; Streptophyta; Magnoliopsida; Poales; Poaceae
Description: partial small subunit ribosomal RNA
Source: RNAcentral